Ananas comosus (pineapple) is the source of this 476-nucleotide long non-coding RNA. RefSeq lists it as uncharacterized. Lineage: Eukaryota; Viridiplantae; Streptophyta; Magnoliopsida; Poales; Bromeliaceae. The record is from RefSeq and is a predicted model, not a curated record. The transcript has 4 exons.
AUAUUUACAACAUCCAGAAAGAGUCUACACUACAUUUGGUGCUGAGGCUGAGAGGUGGGAUCAUUGAGCCCUCGCUUAUGGCUCUUGCCCGGAAGUACAACCAGGACAAGAUGAUCUGUAGAAAAUGCUAUGCGCGGUUACACCCGCGAGCUGUUAAUUGUCGUAAGAAGAAAUGCGGCCACAGCAAUCAGAUCAAAUAUAUUUUCCUUUUCUCCAGCUGAGACCUAAGAAGAAGAUCAAGUGAAAUAGUUCUCUGAUCGAGCUUUAUUUUUCGGUGCCUAAUAGGGGAAGAAUUUAUUGUUAUUAUCUUUUGCUGCGGCUUUUCUUCGCCUCCCCCCUGUUCUGAACAUUUUUGACUUGUGUUACUGCUGAACCGUUGUUAUGCUCUUUGGUCUUAUCAAGUCGUUUCUGAGCUUAUAUCUGACAAGUUGUAUUUUCAUCGAGAGCAAGCUAAAGUACCUUUUUGUGUUUUGUUU